This 1247-nucleotide ribosomal RNA is filed under the name metagenome. RNAcentral's name for it is "bacterial SSU rRNA". It matches the Rfam family "Bacterial small subunit ribosomal RNA", at positions 202 to 1440 of the family's 1533-position model. The record is from RNAcentral.
CGGAACCUACCGCUCUGGGAGGGGCCCGCGUCCCAUCAGUUUGUUGGUGAGGUAACGGCUCACCAAGGCUUACGGGUAGCUGGUCUGAGAGGACGGUCAGCCACACUGGGACUGAGACACUGCCCAGACUCCUACGGGAGGCUGCAGUCGAGGAUCAUUUACAAUGCGCGAAAGCGUGAUAAUGCGACGCUGCGUGGAGGAUGACGGCCCUAGGGUUGUAAACUCCUGUCAUGAGGGAAAAAUAGCAUGCGUGCGAAUAGCACGCGUGUUUGAUGGUACCUCAAGAGGAAGCCACGGCUAACUUCGUGCCAGCAGCCGCGGUAAUACGAAGGUGGCAAGCGUUGUUCGGAUUUACUGGGCGUAAAGCGUGCGUAGGUGGUAUCGUGUGUCGGAUGUGAAAGCCCAUGGCUCAACUGUGGAAUUGCAUUCGAAACUGCGGAACUAGAGUGCAGGAGGGGAGAGCGGAAUUCUUGGUGUAGCGGUGAAAUGCGUUGAUAUCAAGAAGAACACCGGUGGCGAAGGCGGCUCUCUGGAAUGUUACUGACACUGAGGCACGAAAGCUGGGGGAGCAAACAGGAUUAGAUACCCUGGUAGUCCCAGCCGUAAACGGUGCGCACUUGGUGUAGGGGGUAUUGACCCCCCCUGUGCCGGAGCUAACGCGUUAAGUGCGCCGCCUGGGGAGUACGGCCGCAAGGCUAAAACUCAAAGAAAUUGACGGGGGCCCGCACAAGCGGAGGAGCAUGUGGCUUAAUUCGAUGCAACGCGAAGAACCUUACCAGGGCUUGACAUGCAGCUGCUCAUCCGGUGAAAGCCGGACUCUUUCGAAGGUGCUGCACAGGUGCUGCAUGGCUGUCGUCAGUUCGUGCCGUGAGGUGUUGGGUUAAGUCCCGCAACGAACGCAACCCCUGUGGUUAGUUGCCACCGUCGGUGAUGAGCCGGCGAGCACUCUAGCCAUACUGCCCGUACAAGCGGGAGGAAGGUGGGGACGACGUCAAGUCAGUAUGGCCCUUACGCCCUGGGCUGCACACGUGCUACAAUGGGAGGUAUAGAAGGAUGCAAGACCGCGAGGUGGAGCAAAUCCGCAAAACCUUCCCCAGUUCGGAUUGGAGUCUGCAACUCGACUCCAUGAAGUCGGAUUCGCUAGUAACGGCGUAUCAGCUACGACGCCGUGAAUACGUUCCCGGGCCUUGUACACACCGCCCGUCACAUCAUGAAAGCCGUCUGCACCCGAAGUCGCUGAGCCAACU